This 253-nucleotide ribosomal RNA is filed under the name uncultured bacterium. Its description in RNAcentral is "partial 16S ribosomal RNA". It matches the Rfam family "Bacterial small subunit ribosomal RNA", at positions 524 to 776 of the family's 1533-position model. The record is from RNAcentral.
GACGUAGGGCGCGAGCGUUGUCCGGAUUUAUUGGGCGUAAAGAGCUCGUAGGCGGCUUGUUGCGUCGACCGUGAAAACCCGGGGCUCAACUUCGGGCUUGCGGUCGAUACGGGCGGGCUAGAGUUCGGUAGGGGAGACUGGAAUUCCUGGUGUAGCGGUGAAAUGCGCAGAUAUCAGGAGGAACACCGAUGGCGAAGGCAGGUCUCUGGGCCGAUACUGACGCUGAGGAGCGAAAGCGUGGGGAGCGAACAGG